AUGUCUCAAUCAAAAUUGUACAGUCAGAAGUACAGAAAAGAGUGGGAGACUGUACCUGAAUUUAAAGGGUGGCUGAAGCCAGUAAUUGGGGAUGAUUGUCGGGCAUACUGUACGUACUGCAAAUCAGAUAUGCUUGCAAAAAUGUAUCACAUCAAAAAACAUUGUGCUACAGCGAAGCAUAUAAAUAAAUCAAAACCGUACAACCCCACAACGCGGUCUACAUUACCACAGUUGGUUAAGAAAGUGGAUAACUGCAAAAGCGCAGAAGCUACUAUGGCAAUGGCCAUUGCGGAGCAUUGUUCGCUGCUAGCAUGCAACCAUUUAGGUAUGGCUUGCAAAGCUGCCUUUUCAGAUUCUGUGGCAGCAACAAACUUCCAAAUGCACCGCACCAAGUGCACAGAAAUGAUUAGGGGAAUACUGGCUCCUUAUUUUCUCAAAAGGGUAACAUCAGAUGUGGGGGAUGAGAAGUUCAGUCUCCUUUUGGAUGAGUCCAUUGAUGUCAGUGUCUCGAAAUACCUGGGUGUGGUGAUUCGGUAUUUCAGUGCUAAAAAAAUAACCGUCGUGUCCACAUUUCUCGGGCUGGUUGAAUUGGAGCGGGGCGAUGCCAGAUCAAUUGCAAAGGCGGUAGUUGAGUUUCUUGAGAAGUGUAACCUUAAAAAAGAGAAUCUUCAGGGUAUUGGCACUGAUAAUGCGUCCGUGAUGACUGGGGUGCAAAAUGGGGUGCACAAGAUUUUAAAGGAAACAUGUGCAUUGCCCAAUUUGGUACUCAUCCGCUGUGUGUGCCAUUCUUUACAAUUGGCUGACAGUGCAGCAUCCAAAGAAACCAUCCCUAGGAGUGUUGAGUACUUAAUCAGGGAAACAUACAACUGGUUUUCCAUUCCCCCAAAACGGCGAGAGGCGUACAAAGAAGUGUAUGCCACCAUCAAUUGUGGCCAGAAACCCCUGCAGAUCACCAAAGUGUGUGCCACACGUUGGCUAUCGAUUGAGCCUGCGGGAACUCGUAUUUUGAGCCAGUGGGAAGAACUGAAACUCCACUUUGAGGUGACCAAGGCCAGUGAGCGUUGA
Molecule: long non-coding RNA, 1065 nt
Filed under: Salmo trutta (river trout)
Lineage: Eukaryota; Metazoa; Chordata; Actinopteri; Salmoniformes; Salmonidae
Description: lncRNA (ENSSTUG00000034603.1)
Source: RNAcentral